Molecule: ribosomal RNA, 1517 nt
Filed under: metagenome
Description: bacterial LSU rRNA
Rfam family: Bacterial large subunit ribosomal RNA
Source: RNAcentral
AGUCGGGGCCUAAGGCGAGGACGAGAGUCGUAGCCGAUGGACAACAGGUGGAGAUUCCUGUACUGCGGUAUGACAGAACUGUGGGGACACGUAAGGAAAGCGGAAGCCGGGAAUGGAGAGCCCGGUGCAAGCGGGGUACCAGUCACUUUGGCGAAUCCGGGUGGCAAUGGGAAGCCGUGAUGCGGAGCGAAAUAAAGUAGUGAAGUCCGUGAGCCAUGCGUCAAGAAAAGCCGCUAUUGUUUGUACCGUACCCGUACCGUAAACCGACACAGGUGGAUGAGGAGAGAAUCCUAAGGCCGGCGGAAGAAGCAUUGUCAAGGAACUCGGCAAAAUGGCCCCGUAACUUAGGGAUAAGGGGUGCCUCAGAAAUGAGGCCGCAGAGAAUAGGCUCAAGCAACUGUUUGGCAAAAACACAGGUCUAUGCGAAACCGAAAGGUGAGGUAUAUGGGCUGACGCCUGCCCGGUGCUGGAAGGUUAAGAGGAGAGGUUAGCGCAAGCGAAGCUUUGAAUUUAAGCCCCAGUAAACGGCGGCCGUAACAAUAACGGUCCUAAGGUAGCGAAAUUCCUUGUCGGGUAAGUUCCGACCCGCACGAAAGGCGUAAUGAUUUGAGCGCUGUCUCGACAAUGCAUCCGGUGAAAUUGAAGUACCAGUGAAGAUGCUGGUUACCUGCGCCAGGACGGAAAGACCCCAUGGAGCUUUACUCCAGUUUGGUACUGGGACUCGGUAUUGCAUGUACAGGAUAGGUGGGAGGCUAGGAGAUAGUAACGCCAGUUAUUAUGGAGCCGCUGUUGGGAUACCACCCUUGCAGUAUUGGGUUUCUAACCAGCCGCCGUGACCCGGCGGUGGGACAAUGCCAGACGGGGAGUUUGACUGGGGCGGUCGCCUCCGAAAGGGUAUCGGAGGCGCCCAAAGGUUCCCUCAGAAUGGACGGAAACCAUUCGAAGAGUGCAAAGGCAGAAGGGAGCUUGACUGCGACACCGACGGGUGGAGCAGGUACGAAAGUAGGGCUUAGUGAUCCGGUGGUAUUAAGUGGGAAUGCCAUCGCUCAACGGAUAAAAGCUACCCUGGGAUAACUGCUUAUCACUCCCAAGAGUUCACAUCGACGGAGUGGUUUGGCACCUCGAUGUCGGCUCAUCGCAUCCUGGGGCUGUAGUAGGUCCCAAGGGUUGGGCUGUUCGCCCAUUAAAGCGGUACGCGAGCUGGGUUCAGAACGUCGUGAGACAGUUCGGUCCCUAUCCGGCGUGGGCGUAGGAUAUCUGAGAGGAGCUGUCCUUAGUACGAGAGGACCGGGAUGGACGGGCCGCUGGUGCAUCGGUUAGACUGCCAAGUCUACGGCCGAGUAGCCAAGCCCGGAAGGGAUAAACGCUGAAGGCAUCUAAGCGUGAAGCCCCCCUUAAGAUGAGAUAUCCCAUUCGAAAGAAGUAAACCCCCUUGAAGACGACGAGGUAGAUAGGGCAGAGGUGGAAGUGUGGCAACACAUGGAGCUGACUGCUACUAAUCGGGUGAGGGCUUGAUC